UAAAAUCGUAUUUUAAUAAAAAUAAAAGUAGAAUACGAUCCUGACCAGCAUGCUUAAAACGUUGUAAGGUCCAAGGACUCCUAAUCACUCACGCAAUUAGAUUCUGCACUCUAAACAUCAGCUCUUGAUCCAUACCCAUAGUCAAUUGGUUUAUUUGUGCCUUUCUUUUCCAGCUUGAGCACCAAUACCAAAUACUGAAUUUCACAUCUUCACAAAUUGGACUCCUGAUUAUCUCCCCUCCCUUGAAAAUAGCAUCAUUCCUCCUUGUCCACAACGACCAUAAUACAACAUCGAGCAUGGACCUCCACACCUUUCUUCCAAAAUCCUGCUUCAACCAUUGUUCAACAGAAUCCCACCCAAACAAAUUGGAAAACAAAUCUGGCUUUGGCUGCAACAGGGUACGCCACACUCUAAUGCAACAGAGCAAUGCAAAAGGAGGUGUGGAAUUGUUUCGUCAAAAGUACCACGCAUUGAGCAUAAAGUAGUUACUUGCAUACCUCUGUAAAGAAGAUUAUUGGCAGUUAAGGUUCUAUCGAGCAUCGAGGACCAGAGAAAAUUUUACCUCUAAUAGCAACCCGUUUGCCACACUAAUUUGAAAGGGAAAGAAACAUGUUUAGCAGCUUGAGUUUGUCUAGUUUGAAUUGAUUCUCUUCCC
RNAcentral lists this long non-coding RNA (655 nucleotides) under Aquilegia coerulea. Its description in RNAcentral is "long non-coding RNA (ACOE_LNC000099)". Lineage: Eukaryota; Viridiplantae; Streptophyta; Magnoliopsida; Ranunculales; Ranunculaceae. The record is from RNAcentral.